CUGGAGGUGGGGGGGUUCCUCAGCCUGGAUUGUGAGAGGGUGCAGGCCAGGCCCAGGGACCCCACCAGUGCAUG
RNAcentral lists this microRNA precursor (74 nucleotides) under Myotis lucifugus (little brown bat). RNAcentral describes it as "mir-9193 microRNA precursor family". It matches the Rfam family "mir-9193 microRNA precursor family". The record is from Rfam by way of RNAcentral. Lineage: Eukaryota; Metazoa; Chordata; Mammalia; Chiroptera; Vespertilionidae.